UUUUUUUUCAUCGACAGGUGACAUCAUGACUUGGGAUAUUUGUUUUCAUAUCCCGAGUCAUGUAUAGAAUCGGCAGGUGACAUCAUGACUCGGCGUGUAUGAUGUUUUCAAGGGUGAUUGGGAUAUUUGUUUUCAUCGGCAAGUGACAUCAUGACUCGGCGUAUAUGACAUUUUCAAGGGUAAUUGGGAUAUUUGUAUGUUUUCAAGGGUAAUUAGGAUAUUUGUUUUCAUCGGCAAGUGACAUCAUGACUCGGUGUGUAUGACGUUUUCAAAGGUAAUUGGGAGAUUUGUUUUCAAGGGUAAUUGGGAUACUUGUUUUCAUCGGCAACAUCAUAGGUAAUUGGGAUAUUUGUUUUCAUGGGUAAUUGGGAUAUUUGCUUUCAUCGGCAACAUUAUGACUCGGUGAGAUCAUGACUCGGUGUGUAUGACGUUUUCAAAGGUAAUUGGGAUAUUUGCUUUCAAGGGUAAUUGGGAUAUUUGUUUUCAUCAGCAACAUCAUGACUCGAUGUGUAUGACGUUUUCAAAGGUAAUUGGGAUAUUUGUUUUCAACGGUAAUUGGGAUAUUUGUUUCACCGAUAGGUGACAUCAUGACUCGGCUUGUAUGACGUUUUCAAGGGUAAUUGGGAGCACUAAGUUGAUAUCACCCACGCACAAUCACGUGCCCCAUGUCCCAUUCACUCACGAGCUGCGUGCCCCAUGUCCC
Molecule: long non-coding RNA, 703 nt
Filed under: Amborella trichopoda
Lineage: Eukaryota; Viridiplantae; Streptophyta; Magnoliopsida; Amborellales; Amborellaceae
Description: long non-coding RNA (ATRI_LNC004279)
Source: RNAcentral